This 499-nucleotide ribosomal RNA is filed under the name uncultured Glomeromycotina. RNAcentral's name for it is "partial small subunit ribosomal RNA". It matches the Rfam family "Eukaryotic small subunit ribosomal RNA", at positions 591 to 1092 of the family's 1831-position model. The record is from RNAcentral. Lineage: Eukaryota; Fungi; Glomeromycota.
CCAAUAGCGUAUAUUAAAGUUGUUGCAGUUAAAAAGCUCGUAGUUGAAUUUCGGGAUCAAUAUAUUGGUCAUGCUUAGGUAUGUACUGGUAUUAUUGAUUUCUCCCUUCUGAAGAACCAUGAUGCCAUUAAUUUGAUGUCGUGGGGAAUCAGGACUGUUACUUUGAAAAAAUUAGAGUGUUUAAAGCAGGCUUUCGCUUGAAUACAUUAGCAUGGAAUAAUGAAAUAGGACGUUUGAUUCUAUUUUGUUGGUUUCUAGGAUCGACGUAAUGAUUAAUAGGGAUAGUUGGGGGCAUUAGUAUUCAAUUGUCAGAGGUGAAAUUCUUGGAUUUAUUGAAGACUAACUACUGCGAAAGCAUUUGCCAAGGAUGUUUUCAUUAAUCAAGAACGAAAGUUAGGGGAUCGAAGACGAUCAGAUACCGUCGUAGUCUUAACCAUAAACUAUGCCGACUAGGGAUCGGAUGAUGUUAAUUUUUUAAUGACUCAUUCGGCGCCUUACG